UUGAGGGCACAUUUUUCAGGCGCUCUUAACCGAGCUUAAUAGGGAACCCUGUGUAAAUCAGGGACGGGCCCGCCGCUGUAACCGGGGACGAAGGUCGCACCAUGUCACUGGCCCAAAUGGGAUGACGCUUUUUCAGGGCGCAUCGCAGGGCUGGGAAGACGCGACCGCAGGAUGAUCCGGAAGUCAGAAAACCUGCCUGGAAAGUACGCUUUGU
RNAcentral lists this non-coding RNA (214 nucleotides) under Desulfobulbaceae bacterium. Lineage: Bacteria; Pseudomonadati; Thermodesulfobacteriota; Desulfobulbia; Desulfobulbales; Desulfobulbaceae. The record is from RNAcentral.